Molecule: ribosomal RNA, 415 nt
Filed under: uncultured bacterium
Lineage: Bacteria
Description: bacterial SSU rRNA
Rfam family: Bacterial small subunit ribosomal RNA
Source: RNAcentral
GGAAUAUUGGUCAAUGGGCGAGAGCCUGAACCAGCCAUGCCGCGUGCAGGAUGACGGCCCUAUGGGUUGUAAACUGCUUUUGUUAGGGAAGAAACUUUCCGAUUCAUCGGCAACUGACGGUACCUAAAGAAUAAGCACCGGCUAACUCCGUGCCCGCAGCCGCGGUAAUACGGAGGGUGCAAGCGUUAUCCGGAUUCACUGGGUUUAAAGGGUGCGUAGGCGGGUUUUUAAGUCAGUGGUGAAAGCCUCGAGCUCAACUCGAGAAUUGCCAUUGAAACUGAAUACCUUGAGUAUAGUUGAGGUGGGCGGAAUGUGUCAUGUAGCGGUGAAAUGCUCAGAUAUGACAUAGAACACCUAUUGCGAAGGCAGCUCACUAAACUAUCACUGACGCUGAGGCACGAAAGCGUGGGGAGCG